This is a long non-coding RNA of Leptonychotes weddellii (Weddell seal), 1004 nucleotides long. RefSeq lists it as uncharacterized. The record is from RefSeq and is a predicted model, not a curated record. Lineage: Eukaryota; Metazoa; Chordata; Mammalia; Carnivora; Phocidae.
ACUGCGCCGUGCGGAAGCCUCCGCUCGCGGUUAGAUAAACAACCUCCUCUGCCGCCCAACACCACCCUACCCCGCACGCCCCGUCGAACCCCAGGGCCUGCGUCCUGAGCAUGCGCAGUUCGCUUGCCUGAGCCGGGAACCUGGUCAACUGGAGAAUCCCACGCUCGGCAUUUGGGGGAGACAAGAUGUUAGCGGGGCCGGAGCAAUCUGCAGGCUUUAACGUGAGGCGGAGAGUGAAAAGAAGAAACGGGCAAGGCUCAAAAGGAGGUCUUGGUGAGGGAUUUUGCUUGACACCACCCAGUCUCUCAGUACUGACAGUUUGGGUUUUUAUCCUGCAUCAACGUAACGAGAAGCUUUUUUGAGGGAACGAACAUAAAUACAACGAAGCGAAGCUUUCUUUUAAGACUCAGAACUGUGAGGGAGGGGUCGCCUGGCCCCUUCUGCCCACUGCCCGAGGUGGCGAAGGCGAGUCCGCGGAAGCCAGGCGCACGCCCGGUGACGUUGCUGGGGGUCCCGCCCAACGCCCCCAGCCCUGCCCUGCUCCAGCGCCGGCCUGCUGUCGAGCUCUUCCCACGCCCUCUCAGCUACGGGCGCUUGGAAAACCGGGAGAACGGAGCUCCCACCCGCAACAGAAGGCCCAGGGACACCUCAUAGCAACAGCUAGCUGGGGCACCUAGUAGGAAGCUGGGAUUCAGUCCAACCAACCAGAUCACGUUUCUGUACCCCAUGGUAUCUUUCUCGGCCAAUCGAGAGCCACUUCAUGCCACGUGACACCCACCCGUCAGCCAAUGGGGGAAACUCUAGUCGCAGGAUCAACCAACUCACCUCCCUUUGCCUGGCCAGGCUGGGCGUUUGCUCCUGCGCACCUCUGCCAACCAAUCGUAGGUCCCCAGAAGUUGAGAAGCUCUGGAUUGCAGUGCAUCUGAUAGAAGUUGUCACACAAAAAAUAGUGAGUGGGCUCCCUAGUCACCCCACUUAGCAUAAUAAAGAAUAGGAGAGCUUUU